GAUGAACGCUAGCGAUAGGCUUAACACAUGCAAGUCGAGGGGCAGCACAAGGUAGCUUGCUAUCUGGGUGGCGACCGGCGCACGGGUGCGUAACGCGUAUGCAACUUGCCCUAUACAGGAGGAUAACCCGUCGAAAGACGGACUAAUACUGCGUAUGCUCACAACUUGGCAUCAAGUGGUGAGGAAAGAAAUUCGGUAUAGGAUAGGCAUGCGUCCCAUUAGCUUGUUGGUGAGGUAACGGCUCACCAAGGCAACGAUGGGUAGGGGAACUGAGAGGUUUAUCCCCCACACUGGUACUGAGACACGGACCAGACUCCUACGGGAGGCAGCAGUGAGGAAUAUUGGUCAAUGGGCGCGAGCCUGAACCAGCCAAGUCGCGUGAAGGAUGACUGUCUUAUGGAUUGUAAACUUCUUUUAUACGGGAAUAACAGGAGUCACGUGUGACUCCCUGCAUGUACCGUAUGAAUAAGCAUCGGCUAACUCCGUG
This 487-nucleotide ribosomal RNA is filed under the name uncultured bacterium. RNAcentral's name for it is "partial 16S ribosomal RNA". It matches the Rfam family "Bacterial small subunit ribosomal RNA", at positions 28 to 507 of the family's 1533-position model. The record is from RNAcentral.